ACACUCCUGCGGGAGGCAGCAGUGGGGAAUAUUGCACAAUGGGCGCAAGCCUGAUGCAGCCAUGCCGCGUGUAUGAAGAAGGCCUUCGGGUUGUAAAGUACUUUCAGCGGGGAGGAAGGCAAUACGGUUAAUAACCGUGUUGAUUGACGUUACCCGCAGAAGAAGCACCGGCUAACUCCGUGCCAGCAGCCGCGGUAAUACGGAGGGUGCAAGCGUUAAUCGGAAUUACUGGGCGUAAAGCGCACGCAGGCGGUCUGUCAAGUCGGAUGUGAAAUCCCCGGGCUCAACCUGGGAACUGCAUUCGAAACUGGCAGGCUUGAGUCUUGUAGAGGGGGGUAGAAUUCCAGGUGUAGCGGUGAAAUGCGUAGAGAUCUGGAGGAAUACCGGUGGCGAAGGCGGCCCCCUGGACAAAGACUGACGCUCAGGUGCGAAAGCGUGGGGAGCAAACAGGAUUAGAUACCCGAGUAGUCCCA
Molecule: ribosomal RNA, 473 nt
Filed under: uncultured organism
Description: partial 16S ribosomal RNA
Rfam family: Bacterial small subunit ribosomal RNA
Source: RNAcentral